Molecule: long non-coding RNA, 3690 nt
Filed under: Oryza sativa (Asian cultivated rice)
Lineage: Eukaryota; Viridiplantae; Streptophyta; Magnoliopsida; Poales; Poaceae
Description: long non-coding RNA (OSAT_LNC001994)
Source: RNAcentral
AAACCUCUCACCCCGUCGCUGCACCGCCGCUACUCCUGAGAGAUCGAGACGUCGCCUCCUUCUCCGUCCACCGUCUCUCGUCUCCACCUCCCCAAUCCCACCACCGCUUCCUCCCCUCCCCUCCCGCUGUAGUCGAGCAUCUCCCCCCCUCCCCAUCUCCAAAGCCGACGCAUCUACUUCCAAUCUGAUUCUCCACCGCUGAGGAGAGGUAAGAGUGGGGCGUCGAUGAGGCGGAUGAAGGAGCGGAAGGCCCCGUGAGUUGGGGUCUUGCCGGCGGAAUAUUCCAUGAGUUAUCGGCGUGGGAUGAUUAAUCCAAUAAUUAGAUGGGGUGUGAGAAUAACCUUUUCUAAUUAUAGUUGUGUUGAUCAACUCCUUGACAAAUGAUGUUUGGUGACCUUUUAAUCACAUAUAUCAUUUUAAGUUUUAGUCCUGACUCUUGGAGUGCUGGAAGUAAAAAUUAUGCAUGGAUCUCUUAUGAGAGUUUGGAUAUAGAAUCUCUUUGUGAUUUCCAGUGUUAAAUCUGGGAUUCCACUGGCCAAUAGAGGAACUGCUUCCAUCGUUUCGUCAUCUCUAAUCUACAGAGGCACUUAUCACCAUCCCCUGCUACUGCUCUCUUAUUAAGCAACUUAGUUUUACUCUUCCUCUAAUUAUCUUAGAUUGAUUAUUUGGUACAAACUUUCAGACUGCAUAAUCGUGUCCAUUUUAUCCAGGCUGCUAUGAUUUCCAACCGGUUUAGAACAUUCCAGAAUUACCUAAUUUUACUCUUAAGCGAUAAAAAAGAGAAUGCUCAGUGUUAACAAAAAAAAGGAUUGUAAAGCAGUUUCAAUAGAUCGAACUUACAAUUUUUCAUCCAACAUUUGUAAGUUUGUUGUACGUAGUACCAUAAUAAUUGAGGUUAUACAGAUAUACUGAAUGUGUAGAGCCAGUUGCAUUAUAUAGAAUUUUCUUCCUCUCAAUAGUCAUAUCUUUAGAUAGGAUUCUUCUGAACAAAGAAAGGUGUAGUUCAUAAUGUGAUCUAGAUUCUAUUAAGAAAUAAUUAAUCAUGUUGAAUUCAAGUUGUGGCAUGUUAAUUGCUUCUGCAUGUUUUCACUAGCUAUAGUAUAUCACAGGGUUUACUGCUUCUUAUAAAAGGAUGAUGAAGACACUGAACAAAAUGGAGUUUGAAGUGAAGGAUUCAGUGGUCUGGCAAAAGUAUUUCACGGCUACAACAAAUAGCAUAGUACUGAAAGGUGACCAAAUGCUGCUGUAGUGUUGUAUUUUACUACUAUUACUUGCUUUUGACCAAAUUUAAGUAAUGAAAAAUCUAGGACUAGUCGACGAUUUACUCAAAGUUUAUGAUAGUAUGCCCAUCUUUGAAUUUUAUCUGCUGGUUAAAAUAAGCUGCCAUUAGCCAGAAGAGAGGGUGUUUCUUAGCCAAUUUGACGCUAUGUCGGCUGGUAUAGCUGCUAAUGUUGUUGAGUUAAUUUUUCUGCACACCAUUUUCAUUCUUGAAAGCUCUGGUGAUAAUGUUUCCUGCAAUACAAGUAAAGAACUACCGUUUCAUAACUUGCCGUUCAAUUAGCACAAAUGUUAGUUCCUCAUUUUUUUUUUUUGCAUUUUUUCUAUGUGAGCAAUUCAUUUUUGAUGAUUAUGUAACAGGUGAACUAUGCAUAUGGGGCUUAAAGAAAGAUAUUAUGAUUCUCUUAAUACCAUUGGAUGACCUUUCUUUGGUCAUCCCGUCAAAAGAUGGAUUCAGAGCAGUGAGAGAAUUUUCUGUAGCUAGAGAUGCUAAUAUUAACUUGAGCAGUCUGGCAAACGCUUUCCUAAUUUCCCGCCAACAGAUUUUGUGCACUCUUGGCUAAAUCGCAUUGAAAUUCUUGGCCCGUAUAUAUUCUAACAGGUACUGCUGCUCAUAUAUUUCCAUAAUUCACUUCAGAGUUCUGAUCAUGGCUGGCUAUUGCUAGCAAACUAAAAAAAAUGAAUUCUUAGAAUCUGAUAUGUGAUUAAAACAACUUAUACUUGACCAGUUCAAAUCAGAAUGUAUUGGUUCAAUGUGCAUUUUUAUUCACUAUCCACUUCAUAUAUGUUCUCUGCACCAUUUUUUUUUGAGGAAAUUUCAUAUAGCUUUGGAUGCUAUAUCAAAUUGAGCCAUAUUCUCCUGCUCUACUCUGCUCAUUCCCCUAAAUUUCCAUCCAUGUUUUGUUCUGCAGAAAACGUUUUCUCCCUCAGUCUUUGUGAUGCAUUGAAUUGAACAGGAACUGAGAAGUAAUCCAGGUUGUAGCUUCUUCAGGCCACCUUUCAAUAACUGAACUUGAAAUAGAGCUGAGAAGGUCAUCAAAUUUUUCUUUAUAUUUGGCAUUAUCAUGGAUCAAUACUCAAAGGGAGAGAGCAUAUUUCACUUACUUUCCAUUGUUAACUCCUUUUCCGCUCCAUCGAACAAAUAUUGUUGUUAUUUCAGUGUCUUUCCAAUCCAAAUUAUUCUCUCCACACACGUUACGCAAAAGUAACAUGCUUAUCGGUGGACACUCAUGUUUGUGCAAAUGCAUGGCUUAGUGCUGCUAGGGGUCCUAUGAUUAUUUGAACCUUUAGUUAGAAACAUACGAUCGUUUGGAUAUAUGGUUCUAACUAACUGUUUAUUGAGUCCUAUUGUUUCUAUAAAAGAAGAUAAUUAAAUUUUAGUAAAUUUUAUAUAGGGCUAUAAACGGGAAUCCAAAGUCGCGCAACGCGAGACUAAGUGGCUAGUUAACAUGUUCAUUUACUAGUUGUGACAUGGAUAUAAGUGAAAGCAUCGCACAACUCUUCUUUAUCAAAGAAACAUUUUUUGACAAAGGUAUUUCAACAUUUGUUUCCACUAUAGGUUGCUCUAAUGUAGCAUAACUAUAGUGGACAUAGUUAGUACAUCAUAAAUAUGCAUACCUUGAGUAGUUGUAGCACCAUUAUCAUUACCUUUUUUCUCAUCUUCAGAAAUUAUAGGUGCUUGGCCAAUUGAACAUUCUUCAAGCAUGCAUGGAGCUAUGGAUAGAUCUUUUCUCUUCGUGUUUCUUCUCUUCCUCCUCAUCUUUAACGUCAGAGGUGCUGACGUAGCCAUCUUCCGUAGCAACAUAUGCCCGUUGACUAGGGCAAUCUUUAUGCACUUGGCCAAACCCUUGGCAACAAUGGCACUGAAUGCGUCCUGUCGAAGCGACGGAUGAGGCGCUCUUGGCGGGUACCUGUGAAGAACUUUUACCUGAAUCUGCUGCUCGUGGAGGAGGUGGUUUUGGCACUACAGAAACUCCGGACGCAACUGGUCGCUUGCUCGCUGGUGGGGACACCUAAAAAAAGAUGGGCUUGGGAAUCCCUGAAGAUGGCUUCGCCCGUGGCGUGUACGUGCUCGCCUUGUUCUUGAAUUGUUUAUCACGCCCCUGCAAUUCCUUCUCUGCAAGCAUAGCUAACUGAAACAACUGGUUGACAGUGUUAAAUUCCUUAUAAUCAACUAUGUCCUGAAUUCCGCGCCUCAAUCCUGAGUAAAAACGACAAAUAGAAUCCUUGGUCCCCUCCACUAUGUUACAGCGCAUUAAUCCCUUUUGUAGCUCACGAUAGUAAUCCUAUACAGAUUUAUCCCCUUGUUCUAAACGCAUCUGUUUCUUGCAUAAAUCUCUGUGAAAAGAUGAAGGAACAAAUUUAUCGUGCAUAACUAUCUUAAGUUCUUCCCAAGUAGUAGGUAAAGCACCC